This is a non-coding RNA of Pontibacillus marinus BH030004 = DSM 16465, 359 nucleotides long. It matches the Rfam family "transfer-messenger RNA". From Rfam's summary of the family: Bacterial tmRNA, also known as 10Sa RNA or SsrA, is named for its dual tRNA and mRNA-like properties. Its role is to liberate the mRNA from a stalled ribosome. To accomplish this part of the tmRNA is used as a reading frame that ends in a translation stop signal. The record is from Rfam. NCBI's taxonomy places the organism in Bacteria, Bacillati, Bacillota, Bacilli, Caryophanales, Bacillaceae.
GGGGACGUUACGGAUUCGACAGGGAUAGAUCGAGCUUUAGUAGCGAGUCGUAUGGUAACGCGUCAAGUGCCACGCCAAUAAUAACUGGCAAAGAAAACAAUUACUCUCUAGCAGCUGCAUAAGCUGACCUAGAGGAUCCUUCCUGCCAUCGCCCAUGUGGUAGAUUGAAGGGUCUCAAACUGAAGUGGGCUACGCGUUCAUUCGCCGUCUUAGGAUGAACGAAGAGACCAAUAAGACUAGCUACAAGGAAGCCCGUCAGUAGGUCGAAUUGUUAGCGAAUCAUAAUAUACUGACUACGCUCGUAGAAGCUAUUGUGACGAUAUCUCUGGACGUGGGUUCGACUCCCACCGUCUCCACCA